GAAACUUGCCCCGAGAUGAGUUCUCCCUGACCCUUUAAGGGUCCUGAAGGAACGUUGAAGACGACGACGUUGAUAGGCCGGGUGUGUAAGCGCAGCGAUGCGUUGAGCUAACCGGUACUAAUGAACCGUGAGGCUUAACCUUACAACGCCGAAGCUGUU
Molecule: ribosomal RNA, 159 nt
Filed under: Escherichia coli
Lineage: Bacteria; Pseudomonadati; Pseudomonadota; Gammaproteobacteria; Enterobacterales; Enterobacteriaceae
Also listed under: 1 other name
Description: partial 23S ribosomal RNA
Rfam family: Bacterial large subunit ribosomal RNA (bases 1-142)
Source: RNAcentral